This 460-nucleotide ribosomal RNA is filed under the name uncultured bacterium. RNAcentral's name for it is "partial 16S ribosomal RNA". It matches the Rfam family "Bacterial small subunit ribosomal RNA", at positions 338 to 795 of the family's 1533-position model. The record is from RNAcentral.
CCUACGGGAGGCAGCAGUGAGGAAUAUUGGUCAAUGGGCGGGAGCCUGAACCAGCCAAGUCGCGUGAGGGAAGACGGUCCUAUGGAUUGUAAACCUCUUUAGGCGGGGAGCAAUGCCGGGUACGCGUGCCAGGAGGGAGAGUACCCGCCGAAUAAGCAUCGGCUAACUCGGUGCCGGCAGCCGCGGUACUAGGGAGGAUGCGAGCGUUAUCCGGAUUUGUUGGGUUUAAAGGGUGCGAGGGCGGAUUUUUAAUUCGGCGGUAAAAGGUCCGGGUUCACCACGGACCGGCCGUUGAAACUGGGGAGCUUGAGUGGGGGAGAGGUAAGCGGAAUGCGUGGUGUAGCGGUGAAAUGCAUAGAGAUCACGAAGAACUCCGAUUGCGAAGGCAGCAUACCGGCGUCCGACUGACGCUGAGGCACGAAAGCGUGGGGAGCGAACAGGAUUAGAUACCCCAGUAGUC